RNAcentral lists this ribosomal RNA (1383 nucleotides) under uncultured bacterium. RNAcentral describes it as "partial 16S ribosomal RNA". It matches the Rfam family "Bacterial small subunit ribosomal RNA", at positions 28 to 1383 of the family's 1533-position model. The record is from RNAcentral.
GAUGAACGCUGGCGGCGUGCCUAAUACCUGCAUGGCGAGCGAACACACCACGAACUUGCUCCUCUGAAGUUGGCGACGGACGGGUGAGUAGCACGUGGAUUACCUACCUAUAAUACUGGUAUAACGUCCGGAAACCGGAGCUAAUACCGGAGUAAUAUAGUGAACCGCCCGGUUCAUUAGGGAAAUACGGAUUUGCUGUCACUUAUACAUGGAUCCGAGCCGAAUUAGCUAGUUGGUAAUGAAACGGCUUACCAACGCGACGAUGCCUAGCCACACCUGAUAGGGUGAUCUGCCACACUGGAACUGAGACUCGGUCCACACUCCUACGGGAGGCAUGACUACGGAAUCUUCCGCACUGGGCGAGAGCCUGACCGACCCUCACCGCGCGAGAGAUGAGUGUCUUCCGAUCGAAGAACUCUGUUAUUAAGCAAGAUCAUAUGUGUGAGUAACUAUGCGCGUCUUGACCGUACCUAAUCAUAGAGCCUCAGCUAAGUACGUGCCAUCAGCCGCGGUAAUACUUAAGUGGCUAGCGUCAUCCCGAAUUAUUGGGCAUGAAGCGCCGCGCAUGCUGCUUUUUAAGUCUGAUGUGAAACCCCACGGCUCCUCCGUGGAGGGUCAUUGCAAACUGGAAAACUUGAGUGCAGAAGAGGAGAGUGGAAUUCCAUGUGUAGCGGUGAAAUGCGCAGAGAUAUGGAGGAACACCGGUGGCGAAGGCGACUUUCUGGUCUGUAACUGACGCUGAUGUGCGAAAGCGUGGGGAUCAAACAGGAUUAGAUACCCUGGUAGUCCACGCCGUAAACGAUGAGUGCUAAGUGUUAGGGGGUGUCCGCCCCUUAGUGCGGCAGCUAACGCAUCAAGCACUCCGCCUGGGGAGUACGACCGCAAGGUUGAAACUCAAAGGACUUGACGGGGAGCCGCACAAGCGGUGGAGCAUGUGGUUUAAUUCGAAGCGACGCGAAGAACCUUACCAAAUCUUGACAUCCUCGGACCCCUGCAGAGAUAGAGUUUUCCCCUUGGGGGGACAGAGUGACAGGUGGUGCAUGGUGGUGGUCAGCUUGUGUGUUGAGACGGUGGGUCAAGUCCAGCAAGGAGGGCAACCCUUUAGGUUAGUUGCCAUCACUAAGCUGGGCAAUGUAAGUAGACCGCCGGUGACAAACUGGAGGAAGGUGUGGGAUGACGUCAAAUCAUCAUGCCCAUUAUGCUCUGCGCCUACCCGGAGUGUUACAUAUGGGCAAUACAAAGGGCAGCGAGACCGUGAGGUCAAGCAAAUCCCAGUAAAGUCGUUGUCAGUUCGGAUGUUAGUCUGCAAGAUGGACCUACUACGAAGCCGGGACCGCUCGUAAUGGUAGAUAGGCAUGAUGCGGUGAAUAAGUUCUCGGCUUG